GGUGAAUGCUGGCGGCGUGGAUAAGUCAUGCAAGUCAAGGGGGCCCGCAAGGGCAACCGGCAAACGAGGUAGUAACACGUAGGUAGACCCCCCAGAGUCGGGCAUAGCCAGCCGAAAGGUUGGGUAAUUCCCGAUAGUCCCGAAAGGGUAAAGGUUUUUUCGCUCUGGGAGUUGCCUGCGUAGUAUCAGCUAGUUGGUAGGGUAAUGGCCUACCAAGGCUACGACGCUUAGGGGAGCUGAGAGGCUGACCUCCACCGAUGGAACUGCGACACGGUCCAUACUCCUACGGGAGGCUGCAGACGAGAAUAUUCCGCAAUGGGCGAAAGCCUGACGGAGCGACGCCGCGUGAUUGAUGAAGUGCUUCGGUACGUAAAGAUCUUUUAUCGGGGACGAAGUUUAUUGACGGUACCCGAUGAAUAAGGGGCUCCUAACUCUGUGCCAGCAGCGCGGUAAU
Molecule: ribosomal RNA, 454 nt
Filed under: uncultured bacterium
Lineage: Bacteria
Description: bacterial SSU rRNA
Rfam family: Bacterial small subunit ribosomal RNA
Source: RNAcentral